Molecule: non-coding RNA, 362 nt
Organism: Macaca mulatta (Rhesus monkey)
Lineage: Eukaryota; Metazoa; Chordata; Mammalia; Primates; Cercopithecidae
Source: RefSeq, a predicted model, not a curated record
GCUCUGGGGUCUGAUACCCAGGGCUUCAGCUGUCACUCAGAUGUGGGGGCGGGGCCUAGCAUUUCAUCCAAUCAGAGGCGCGGGGGCGUGGCCCUGCGCACAGUUCAUCCGGAAAUGUAGGGGGUUAUGUUCCUCCCCACACGUUUGUCGCUGUGCGGGCGGCGGUUGGGAUCCGUCCGGUCUGUCCAGCCGGAGAGGGACCUGGUGCCUGUACCCAGGUUUCUGUCGCUCAGUCACCUGUGCUAUUCCCUGCUCUAGUCACAGGAGCUGUUGAGAGGACGCCGCCUGAAAGCCAGGAAAUGUUUCCAUUAAUUGGAGACGCAUGGCAGGUCAGCUAAUCGGAUGUUGCUAUUGAGGAAAAG